UCUCCGUUGGUGAACCAGCGGAGGGAUCAUUACAGAGUUUACAUCUCCCAAACCCCUGUGAACAUACCUAUCGUUGCCUCGGCGGUGCCCGCUCCGGCGGCCCGCCAGAGGACCCCCAAGCUCUUGUUUUAUACAGUAUCUUCUGAGUAACACGAUUAAAUAAAUCAAACCUUUCAACAACGGAUCUCUUGGUUCUG
This 197-nucleotide unclassified non-coding RNA is filed under the name plant metagenome. RNAcentral describes it as "partial contains small subunit ribosomal RNA, internal transcribed spacer 1, and 5.8S ribosomal RNA". The record is from RNAcentral.